AAAAUAAAAAGCUAAGAAAAGUGGAGGAAAUAAACUAAGAAGAGAAUUUUGAUUCUUCGUCAAUAAGUGGUUGAUGUGAAAGCUGAGAAUUUUGAUUCUUCGUCAAUAAGUGGUUGAUGUGAAAGCUGAGAAUUUUGAUUCUUCGUCAAUAAGUGGUUGAUGUGAAAGCUGAGGCCUGGCCCAUGCCUGUCUCAUUUAAUGGCAGUGGAACAGAAACUGACCACAACAAA
RNAcentral lists this long non-coding RNA (230 nucleotides) under Homo sapiens (human). RNAcentral describes it as "HSALNT0235718". The record is from RNAcentral. Lineage: Eukaryota; Metazoa; Chordata; Mammalia; Primates; Hominidae.